AUCAGAAUCAUACUUUAAAGCACCAUAUUCAUAUCAUACAAAAAAAUGAGGGAACCUCACUUUCAUACUAAAAAUCAUUAGCAAAAACAACUCCGAUGAGAGAACAUCAGAGUCAAAAACUAAUCACAUUCCUACACCAUAUCAGAAUAACCAUACUCUAACAUACAUAUUGCUGCUAAAUUCACAAAAUCAUUCCAAAAAUUGUAGGCUGAAAAAAGUAAUACACAACUGCAGCAACAUACGCAAAACUGAAAUCACAAGCCAAAACACAAACAAC
Molecule: long non-coding RNA, 277 nt
Filed under: Lathyrus oleraceus (garden pea)
Lineage: Eukaryota; Viridiplantae; Streptophyta; Magnoliopsida; Fabales; Fabaceae
Description: Pisum sativum (pea) long non-coding RNA (PSAT_LNC025743)
Source: RNAcentral